CCGGGGCUGACGCGAGGAGCCCAGGCACAUCCCCAAGCUCUCGGAGUAGGCCCUAAGGGAGAGCAAUUCCUCCCAACAGCUGGAUCUGCUUUCACAAUUGGUAAACACGUAAAAUGGAAGGCCGUGGAAGAUGCGAAGACUCGCCGAGGAGCCGCUUCCCCGCCCGCUUGGCUCGCGUUCUGAGGCUUAUCUGGGGUCUCCGCACAAGCCUCAUCAAAACCCAGAGUGUCUUCAAACAGGCAACCCGCAUCGCAUUCCCUUCUUCAGAGGGUCAACAUGUUCUCUGGGGGAGAAAUUUUCUGAAUGCCUUGCAGAUAAAAUUGAUCAGAUGCAGGCCAGAUCGCCAGCUGCCAAGAUCUGCAGGCUCCAUGUGGAGGCCAGCCCAGAAGAAUCUUCCCAGCAUUCCCACACCUCCCUGCGGCCAGCAUCUCAGGGUCCCCUGGGAUAUCUCCUCAAGAGCACGGCUUUCCGGUGCUGCUGCCACCAACGCCCUUCAAGAGAGGACCAGAGCCAAAGAAGACUAAGUGGGUCGUUAAAGGAGACCAUCCACCUAAAUGUGAUCCUCGGGAACAAGUUUGCAUGCAGACUCAAGCUGAAAACCUGCCUGGGUCUGGAAAGAUAGAGCCCAAGAGCACAGCUGUCCACCGGGGGUUGGCUUGCUUACUUUGCCCCCAGGGACCAGGGGCUCACUAGCAUGUCUAGUUUUGGUUCAGAAAGUCCAGGGAAGUGUGGCAGCUGGAAAAUAGUUUAGGGGACAAAGUUUAGGCUCUGUAUUUUCCACAGAAGAAGUGAAAUUCUUCUGAUGGAAGUUUCCAACACCGGGAAGGGGUGGGAGGGCAGGAGGAGGGGAAGCUGAGCAUGUGGUCCACCUUCAGAGGAAGCUUGGAAGUAUGCCUGUGAACACCUGCUCAAUUACUGAGAAGGUCACAACACAGGGCUGGUCCUCUUCUGGACUGGUGGGAGAGCUUUCCUUCUAGAAUCAAUCAUCUUUAGGCAGCCAGAACCCCACUCACCACAGCCCUCCCCCCCCCCAACACACAAAGGGGAUUUGCUAGUCUCAUGGGGUCCAACUACAGAGAUGUGUGAUGGGUGACUUUAAUUAUCAAAUUGACACAACCUACAAUGUAGGGAUUGCCGACAUCAGGUUGCCCGUGGGCAUAUCUACAGGUGUGGGGGGGUGUUAAUUGAAGUGGGAAGAUGUACCCUGAAC
RNAcentral lists this long non-coding RNA (1210 nucleotides) under Cricetulus griseus (Chinese hamster). RNAcentral describes it as "lncRNA (ENSCGRG00015039637.1)". Lineage: Eukaryota; Metazoa; Chordata; Mammalia; Rodentia; Cricetidae. The record is from RNAcentral.